AUAACGUCCCAACAACAACGGACACUCUCUGGUUCCUCAGCGUGGUUUAACGGUUUUCUGUGUCAGCAUUGUUUGCGGUCGUCGUCGCCAUGAUGAACUGCGUGUGAAGGCUCGUGACGGCUGAGCAUCAUCUCCUUCCCCGACAGGAAGCAGACGCGAAGAAGUGAUCCUCGGUGGAGCAGAGCAGGCCUGUGGAGUAGCAGCCAAUGGACAGCACAGGACAGAAAGAGCCCGAGGCUGAUUAAAGUCAACUAAAGUCCUUCCUGGACCUUUAAAGCACAGCAGUCCCUCUGCUUCUUCAGGACUCUGCUCACGUGCCAUAGGGUGCAAAUAGCGAUUAUUUGGUUGA
Non-coding RNA from Gasterosteus aculeatus aculeatus (three-spined stickleback), 349 nucleotides. The record is from RefSeq and is a predicted model, not a curated record. NCBI's taxonomy places the organism in Eukaryota, Metazoa, Chordata, Actinopteri, Perciformes, Gasterosteidae.